This 445-nucleotide ribosomal RNA is filed under the name uncultured bacterium. Its description in RNAcentral is "partial 16S ribosomal RNA". It matches the Rfam family "Bacterial small subunit ribosomal RNA", at positions 354 to 796 of the family's 1533-position model. The record is from RNAcentral.
GUGAGGAAUAUUGCGCAAUGGAGGCAACUCUGACGCAGCCAUGCCGCGUGCAGGAAGAAGGCGCUACGCGUUGUAAACUGCUUUUAACCGGGAAGAAACCCCAGGACGUGUCCUGGGUUGACGGUACCGGAGGAAUAAGCACCGGCUAACUUCGUGCCAGCAGCCGCGGUAAUACGAAGGGUGCAAGCGUUAUCCGGAUUCAUUGGGAUUAAAGGGUGCGUAGGCGGAGCGUUAAGUCAGGGGUGAAAUCCUGCAGCUUAACUGUAGACUUGCCAUUGAUACUGGCGCUCUUGAGUGCGCUUGAAGUGGGCGGAAUGUGCCGUGUAGCGGUGAAAUGCUUAGAUAUGGCACAGAACACCAAUUGCGAAGGCAGCUCACUAAGGCGAUACUGACGCUGAGGCACGAAAGCGUGGGGAUCGAACAGGAUUAGAAACCCGGGUAGUCC